GUGCGUCGCUCUUUUUUGUCCAUCGUCAAGACCGAUCGGGUUUGCCAGCGGAGAAGAGGAUUACAUUUUUCCAUCGUUUUUCUCAAUUAUUGCAUUGGAAAAAUUAGUUGUUCUGCAGUAAACUGUGUUAACCGACAUGUGAAAUCGGGAUCUUUGCAGUUGUUUCGGUAAGUUAUGUUUUUUUAUGAAGUCAUCAGCUUGCUAGCUACAUAACAUUAAACGGUCUGGUUUAAUUUAGCUAAUGGGGUUUACUUACAGAUACCAAGCGGUAAGUUCUGUGCCUUAUUUAAGCGUUUUUAUUAGAAGUUAAACAAUGAGGAAACCCCUUAAAAUCCGCCUUCUUUUUAUAACAAUACUAUGACUACGUGACUUUGAAUUUGAAUUAAAAACCGUACCGAUCACACAGAUUCAUACUAGCAACCAAAUACUACCACAGAGUAUCAGGGCAUGAAAUGAAAACUCGAGGCAUGAAGUCAUAAUGUUAAAGGAAUUAAUUCGCAUUUAAGUCAUUCCCCUAAUAUUGCAUCACUUUAUGAGAACAAGGCCAUGUAAAUGAAUAUAAUGAGAGUCAUGAUGUUAUGAGUCGAAGUUUUGGUAAUGGAUCAACCAGUUUUACUCGGGUAUGUCACAACGAGAGCAGCCUGCGCUAAAAUCAGGUAUGUUAAUUUAAUGGUAUGUAUAUUUAAUUAACAUUAACAUUAACAUAUGUAUAUUUAAUUAAAAUGCAUCUUUCGGAUGCACCGUCCUAGCUUUCUGGCAGAGGAUUGACCGCCGGUUCAGUCUCCUCCGUACAGCGGCAGUAGUAUUACAGCUUCUGGUGACAUAACGAUAUUUGUCUAAGAUAAAGCUCUGAAACUGUCUUUAAUGGGACAAAACGUCGAGAAAACGAGACCCUAUAAGUGUAUAGAAGGACAUGCUCAAAAGAUUACUUAUACAAGUUGCAUAACUGUUAUUUAUUUUAUGUUAUCAAAUAACAUACACAAGUCAUAAGUAUACUUCUGUGGAAUGACAAUUAUCAUUUACAGCAGCAUGGUAGAUCAUGUCUAAUUUAAGUUUUCAAGAUAGAUAGAUAGAUAGAUAGAUAGAUAGAUAGCCCUGUUACUUAUAAGAUUGAGAUAAAACUAUGAGUAAUGUAAUUAGUUGUGGAAAGACAGCUGCAUAUGACAUACUUAAUCAAUCACAAUGACAUUAAAAUUUUUGUUACAUGCAAAGAAAUCCCUCAAUUGUGAUAGGAUGUUCAUAAGACAUAUCACUCACAAGAUGAAAUGAUUUAGAUUAUUUAUACAGUUUGUAUAUUCAUUCACUUGAGGUAUUUUUUGUGAUUGUCUUUGAAUUGAGUUUUGGCUUCAGCCUGUUAUGCAACAAAGCAAGAAUUAAACUGAACGCAAAACAUUAACUUUGUGUUGUUUACAAACUUGACAAAUGGCAGUAAGCAAUGUUAUUGUAUUUUUGUAAAGUUUCCCUUUAGGUGACAAAGCGAGGCUGAAGCAGUGGCUGGUGAACACAAGACGGCAGGACUGGAAACCAACAGGAUCAUCACGUCUUUGCAGUGCUCAUUUUGAAGAGCAUGCCUUUACUGUGGACUCAAAGGUUAAAUUAUUUCUUUUUUAAUGGACAGCAAUUUUUAUGAAGUUCACAUUUGCAACAAUUUAUUGUUAAAUUGACUAACACUUUGAAUCAUAAAAUGGCGGUUAUUUAAACAUUCCCAAGAGCUGAACACUACAACUAUCGUGGUAUCGUUUUAAAUUACUGCUGUUUUUAUGUUUUCUAAAAUUAGGUAUUUGCAUGUAGUUGUAGUGUCUGCUACCAUCUACUGGUCAUUAUUAGGUAGUGUCAUCAGUCAUUUUCAGUUUAAGUUGGCGCAGCCUGGAGUAAAAAAAACAGGAAUCAUGUUGCAAAAAAAAUUUGAGUGAUACCACAUGAACAACUUCUUAUGCUUAGACCAAAUGUGCCCUGUUAGAUAAAGGUAACAGCACUAGCCAAGUAGUAGUCUCUAAGAAUGCUAACUAAAUGAAACCUUUUAAAUAAUUGGACAAGUAUAUCAAAACCUCUAAAGUUUUCAUGCUGAGCUACCACCUGGUUUGAGACAUAAGUGUCUUAAUGAAUUUAAGUACUGGUAUUCACAAUUUAAUUGAUGAAUUUCUUUGUGUUUUUCAGACUUCAUCACCAACCACUGAUGAUAUGGUGGAUUCAUCUGCUGCAGCCUGUUUCCUUUCCACCCAAUGCAACUCCCAAAGUACUAGAUUAUAUCUUUUUAAGUUCCUGGUAAAAUAACAAACAUACAGGUUUUCUGCAAAGGAGUUAAGUAUUUAUAAAUCACAAAUAAAUACUAAAAUGCUAGUGUCCUCUCACAAGUGUCCAUGUCAUGCUAUCUGAUUUACAUUAAUUACAUGCUGUUCACUACACAUAUUGUCAGUUUGUUUUUUCAGUUUUACCACACUUUGUCCACUUCAUGGUGAGGACUCGCACACAGAAAGAUGGAAAAGACAAAUGUCUUGAAAAGUUGGAUCCAUUUUAUUGCUAGGAAUAAAAUUGAUCCAACUUUUGAGACAUUUGUCUUUUCCAUCUUUCUGUGUGUGAGUCCUUUACAGCCUUUUUGAAUUGUCUUAUCUGACCAUUGCACCAGAAGAAAGAAUACUAGGACUGAUGUUAAGCUCUUUUCUUGUUAAUCACUUGAUGAUGAGUACAUAAGAAAUGCAUUGACUUCGUUGUGGUAUGUUUUUUUCUUUUGAUAGCUUUACAUGAAAAAUAAAAUUUUGAGACAAAUACUCUGGAAUAAUAAAGCAUAUACUGUGUUUU
RNAcentral lists this long non-coding RNA (2799 nucleotides) under Xyrichtys novacula (pearly razorfish). The record is from RNAcentral. Lineage: Eukaryota; Metazoa; Chordata; Actinopteri; Labriformes; Labridae.